GAAUCUGCCUAAAGGACCGGGACAACCACUGGAAACGGUGGCUAAUACCGGAUGUGCUCUACAGUGAAAGGGGAAACUCGCCUUUAGAGGAGCUCGCGUCUGAUUAGCUAGUUGGUAGGGUAAAAGCCUACCAAGGCGACAAUCAGUAGCUGGUCUGAGAGGAUGAUCAGCCACACUGGGACUGAGACACGGCCCAGACUCCUACGGGAGGCAGCAGUGGGGAAUUUUCCGCAAUGGGCGAAAGCCUGACGGAGCAAGACCGUGUGAGGGAGGAAGGCUCUUGGGUCGUAAACCUCUUUUGUCAGGGAAGAACACAAUGACGGUACCUGACGAAUCAGCCUCGGCUAACUCCGUGCCAGCAGCCGCGGUAAUACGGAGGAGGCAAGCGUUAUCCGGAAUUAUUGGGCGUAAAGCGUCCGUAGGUGGCUCGUCAAGUCUGCGGUCAAAGACCGGGGCUCAACCCUGGAAAGGCCGUGGAAACUGGUGAGCUAGAGUGCGGUAGGGGCAGAGGGAAUUCCCGGUGUAGCGGUGAAAUGCGUAGAGAUUGGGAAGAACACCGGUGGCGAAAGCGCUCUGCUGGGCCGCAACUGACACUAAUGGACGAAAGCUAGGGGAGCG
Molecule: ribosomal RNA, 618 nt
Filed under: uncultured cyanobacterium
Lineage: Bacteria; Bacillati; Cyanobacteriota
Description: bacterial SSU rRNA
Rfam family: Bacterial small subunit ribosomal RNA
Source: RNAcentral